RNAcentral lists this ribosomal RNA (654 nucleotides) under uncultured archaeon. Its description in RNAcentral is "bacterial SSU rRNA". It matches the Rfam family "Archaeal small subunit ribosomal RNA", at positions 508 to 1160 of the family's 1478-position model. The record is from RNAcentral.
GCCUAAAGCGUCCGUAGCCGGCUUUGUAAGUUUUCGGUUAAAUCUAUAUGCUCAACAUAUAGGCUGCCGGAAAUACUGUAAAGCUAGGGAGUGGGAGAGGUAGACGGUACUCCGUAGGAAGGGGUAAAAUCCUUUGAUCUAUGGAUGACCACCUGUGGCGAAGGCGGUCUACCAGAACACGUCCGACGGUGAGGGAUGAAAGCUGGGGGAGCAAACCGGAUUAGAUACCCGGGUAGUCCCAGCUGUAAACUAUGCAAACUCAGUGAUGCAUUGGCUUGUGGCCAGUGCAGUGCCGCAGAGAAGUCGUUAAGUUUGCCGCCUGGGAAGUACGUACGCAAGUAUGAAACUUAAAGGAAUUGGCGGGGGAGCACCACAAGGGGUGAAGCCUGCGGUUCAAUUGGAGUCAACGCCAGAAAUCUUACCCGGAGAGACAGCAGGAUGAAGGUCAAGCUGAAGACUUUACCAGACAAGCUGAGAAGUGGUGCAUGGCCGUCGCCAGCUCGUGCCGUGAGGUGUCCUGUUAAGUCAGGUAACGAGCGAGAUCCUUGCCUCUAGUUGCCACCAUUACUCUCAGGAGUAGUGGGGCGAAUUAGCGGGACUGCCGUAGUUAAUACGGAGGAAGGGGAGGGCCACGGCAGGUCAGUAUGCCCCGAA